GGACAGAUCAGAGAAGGUUCUGAAGUGUUACAGGUACCAUAAGACUAGAUACUUUAAAAAGAAUUAUCCGUUGUAGAAGAAAGGAGGAGAAGAGAGGGACUCAAUCAGGUCAGUCGCUGAAAGCGAAGGGACGGAUGAUCUCUUGAUAGUUUCGGAAGAGCCCGCAGGGUGUGGAGGGUUCGUGAUGGCUUUAGAGAGGUC
RNAcentral lists this long non-coding RNA (201 nucleotides) under Elaeis guineensis (African oil palm). Its description in RNAcentral is "long non-coding RNA (EGUI_LNC031623)". The record is from RNAcentral. Lineage: Eukaryota; Viridiplantae; Streptophyta; Magnoliopsida; Arecales; Arecaceae.